AUUGGACGCUGGCGGAAUGCUUUACACAUGCAAGUCGAACGGCAGCACGGACUUCGGUCUGGUGGCGAGUGGCGAACGGGUGAGUAACAUAUCGGAACGUAUCCAAUAAUGGGGGAUAACGAGUCGAAAGAUUCGCUAAUACCGCAUACGCCCUACGGGGGAAAGCUGGGGACCUUCGGGCCUGGCGUUAAUGGAGCGGCCGAUAUCUGAUUAGCUAGUUGGUGAGGUAAAGGCUCACCAAGGCGACGAUCAGUAGCUGGUCUGAGAGGACGACCAGCCACACUGGAACUGAGACACGGUCCAGACUCCUACGGGAGGCAGCAGUGGGGAAUUUUGGACAAUGGGCGCAAGCCUGAUCCAGCCAUUCCGCGUGAGUGAAGAAGGCCUUCGGGUUGUAAAGCUCUUUCGCAAGGGAAGAAAACUUAGCCACUAACAUUGGUUGAGGUUGACGGUACCUUGAUAAGAAGCACCGGCUAACCACGUGCCAGCAGCCGCAGUAA
RNAcentral lists this ribosomal RNA (500 nucleotides) under uncultured bacterium. RNAcentral describes it as "partial 16S ribosomal RNA". It matches the Rfam family "Bacterial small subunit ribosomal RNA", at positions 30 to 523 of the family's 1533-position model. The record is from RNAcentral.